GAUGAAGAACGUAGCGAAUUGCGAUAUGUAAUGUGAAUUGCAGAAUUCAGUGAAUCAUCGAGUCUUUGAACGCACAUUGCGCCCCCUGGUAUUCCGGGGGGCAUGCCUGUCCGAGCGUCAUUGCUGCCCUCAAGCACGGCUUGUGUGUUGGGCCUCCGUCCUCCUCCCGGGGGACGGGCCCGAAAGGCAGCGGCGGCACCGCAUCCGGUCCUCGAGCGUAUGGGGCUUCGUCACCCGCUCUUGUAGGCCCGGCCGGCGCUUGCCGACACAUCAAUCUUUUUUCCAGGUUGACCUCGGAUCAGGUAGGGAUACCCGCUGAACUUAAGCAUAUCAAUAAGCGGAGGA
This 345-nucleotide unclassified non-coding RNA is filed under the name soil metagenome. RNAcentral's name for it is "partial contains 5.8S ribosomal RNA, internal transcribed spacer 2, and large subunit ribosomal RNA". The stretch from base 1 to 120 matches the Rfam family "5.8S ribosomal RNA", at positions 35 to 154 of the family's 154-position model. The record is from RNAcentral.